GACGAACGCUGGCGGCGUGCCUAAUACAUGCAAGUCGAGCGGACAGACCGGGAGCUUGCUCUUCUGUCGUUAGCGGCGGACGGGUGAGUAACACGUGGACAACCUUCCUUUUAGACUGGGAUAACUUCGAGAAAUCGGAGCUACUACCGGAUAACACGUUGAAUCGCAUGAUUCAAUAGUGAAAGACGGUUCUGGUGUUCGCUAUAGCUGGAUCCGCGUGGGCUUAGCUAGUUGGUAAGGUAACGGCUUACCAAGGCGACGAUGCGUAGCCGACCUGAGAGGGUGAUCGGCCACACUGGAACUGAGACACGGCCCAGACUCCUACGGGAGGCAGCAGUAGGGAAUCUUCCGCAAUGGGCGAAAGCCUGACGGAGCAACGCCGCGUGAGUGAAGAAGGCCUGCGGGUCGUAAAACUCUGUUAUUAGGGAAGAACAAGUGUCGCAGUAACUAGGCUCAUCGUGACGGUACCUAAUGAGAAAGCCACGGCUAACUACGUG
Molecule: ribosomal RNA, 497 nt
Filed under: uncultured bacterium
Lineage: Bacteria
Description: partial 16S ribosomal RNA
Rfam family: Bacterial small subunit ribosomal RNA
Source: RNAcentral